GGGGAUUUGGCUCAGUGGUAGAGCACUUGCCUAGGAAGCACAAUGUCCUGGGUUCAAUCCCCAGCCCCG
Non-coding RNA from Rattus norvegicus (Norway rat), 69 nucleotides. The record is from Rfam. Lineage: Eukaryota; Metazoa; Chordata; Mammalia; Rodentia; Muridae.